Molecule: non-coding RNA, 66 nt
Organism: Podarcis lilfordi (Lilford's wall lizard)
Lineage: Eukaryota; Metazoa; Chordata; Lepidosauria; Squamata; Lacertidae
Source: the annotation of a GenBank genome assembly
GAGCUCAGCUGGUACAGAAUAUGACACUUAAUCUCAGGGUUGUGGGUUCGAGCCCCACAUGGAGCA